GCAAGUCGAACGAGAAAGCACCUUCGGGUGUGAGUAGAGUGGCGAACGGGUGAGUAACACGUGGGUAAUCUACCUCUUGGCGGGGGACAACAUUUGGAAACGAAUGCUAAUACCGCAUAAGUCGGCUUCGGCCGGGAAAGGUGGCUUCGGCUACCGCCAGGGGAUGAGCCCGCGACCCAUCAGUUAGUUGGCAGGGUAAUGGCCUACCAAGGCGACGACGGGUAGCUGGUCUGAGAGGAUGAUC
This 244-nucleotide ribosomal RNA is filed under the name uncultured bacterium. Its description in RNAcentral is "partial 16S ribosomal RNA". It matches the Rfam family "Bacterial small subunit ribosomal RNA", at positions 57 to 305 of the family's 1533-position model. The record is from RNAcentral.